Molecule: long non-coding RNA, 2731 nt
Filed under: Helianthus annuus (common sunflower)
Lineage: Eukaryota; Viridiplantae; Streptophyta; Magnoliopsida; Asterales; Asteraceae
Description: hypothetical non coding rna
Source: RNAcentral
AUACAUCCAUUUUUCAUACAAAACUUAAAAAAAUCCAUAAGAAUCCAAAACCGAUGACGAAGCUCUUUGGAGAAAAUGAAAAGAUAUUGCGUUCCAAAAUUAGUUCAAAAUUAACAAUAUGAGAUUUUAUAUGUAAAUAAUGAUUUUCAUUUCAUGCUUUCAUCAAAGAGCUUGCACACCACCCUUAAGUGGAAUUUUGUAAGUUUUCUUUUCCUCCAAUUUUUUUAUAUACGUCUUACUUUUUAAUUAGACCAUGGGUAUGAUGGGGCUUGGGUUGGGGCAUUUGUUGAUACGUGGAAUGGGACCCCCCCCCCCCCCACUCAAACCCACGCCCAUGGGGUAUGGUGGGGCUUGGGUUAGGGGCAUGAUUUUGGCUUGGCCAUUGAGAGCCUGCCAUGUCAUUUACUACCCCGCCCCACGCCCGGCUUCAAACCCACGCCAAUGGGGCCACGCCCCAAACCCAUGCCCCAACCCAAGCCCCCGGGGUGGUGGCUUGGGCGUUUUUCAGCCAACCCACGCCCCAACCCAAGCCCCAUACCCCAUGGCCUUAACUACUAACUAUUUAGUUUAAUUUGUUUAGAAAUCAUUUAAAUCGUUUUAUUUUGUUUGCCUGGUGUUUUAUUACUGAGAUUUGUAACUUAGAUGUUUGAUUAAAUCUAUUAUCUAUUAUAUAUAAUAAAUGUGUUAAUUUUUGCUGAUGUGUCAAGCUAGGAGGCCUCUAAUUUUUGCUUUUUGGCGGGAAAAUCCCGUCUGCUUUUUUCCUUAAUUUUGAAGCCCCGAAUUAGUCUACCCGACCCACUAAAUCGGAUCCUAUAAUACCCUUCUUUUUUCUCAUUCCGCUUCUCACUGUUCAUAUUGUUUAUCUGAAACCCUAACUACACUCCCUUUCUCUGAAACCCUAACUACAGCCGCCUUCAACAAUCUUCGUAUCAUCAUCAUCAUCAUCAUCAUCAUCGUUCAAUCCCAGAUUUUCAUCAUCCUUUUUUAAACCCUAUCUGUCAACACCGUCUUUUUCAUCUUCUUGUGAGGUUUUUUCUACACAGAUCUAAAACGCAGGUUUAAUUCGAUCCAAGGCAGCACAAUGGAGUGGUAUCUUCGAUUAGGGUUAUUAGUGGCCGGAAUUAGGUUAAGGAUGCGACUUUUGGCCAGAAUCCUCUUCAGCAUCAAGUCAAUAUAGUUAUGCUAUUGUUAAGGAAAAUAUGGUAUCCACUCAAUCACCAGAUGCCAAAAUCAUCAAAGAAGGGCUGUAAUUAGGGCUCGACUGGGUUUAUUCCGCUUAAGAACACGGAUAAGAACAACGUCACGGCUUCACCUGGUACCGGUAUACAGGUUUUAUUUUAUUUGUAUUUAGUUUAAUGUUUUGUUCAAAAUGAAUCAGAAGAGGAGUUUAACUGAAAUUAUUUUUUCCUUUAGCUGGAGUAUAGGUUUGCUAAGAUGCCUCUUACACCGUCCCCAUCUGGUAUAUUGUUAAUUUUGAUAACUUGGUUUUAUAAUUUAUAUUUUCAAUUUGUUUGAGUUAAUUGAUUAUUUUUAAAGUAUAUACGGGUUUACAUCAGUGUCCUCAUGAUCGAUCAUUCACUAUGGAGAAAUUUUGAAGAGCUAUGAAAAUUAAAGGCUCAAGACAUAAAGUCUGAGCCUGUGUACGCUCGAGGCAAGCUAAGCGUACAUCCAUUCCAGGCUUUUUUAGUUGUUUUAGACUAGAUUUUGGCUGGUUAAAUUGUUUAGAGUAGUUUACGCAGGUUAGGUUGGUUCAAACUUCUUAUGAUUGAGUUUAUUCCUUAAUCGGGCCAUUGCAAUUGAGUAAUAUAUAUGCUCAGUACCAAUUGAAGUUGGGCCCAUGUGCGUACAAGUUCCAGUUUUUUGCAAUUACUUAAUAAGUGAAUUAGUCCAACAGGUUAAUGAUUAACACCAAUAUGCUCAUCUUGAACCUGCAAAUACAAAAUGUUCUUUUGUUAGACGAAGUGACAGUUGACCUCGAUGUAGUUGCAAGGAUGGAUUUACUCGAGUUCUUCAAGGAGGAAUGUGAUUAUGUGAGCAGCCAAGAAAGGUUUGGUAGUACUUUUAUUUAUUAAUAUUGUUGCUCAAAGGGCUAAAGACGUCAUUAAAAUGGUCACAAGACUGGGAUACAACAAGUUUCCAAUGAAGAAUUUAAUAAUCAGGUGAAGAUGUUAAUGUGUGUAUAACAUCCGCAUUUGGUGGUCAUGCUUGGAUUCUACAUAGAGCUAAACUGCAGCGUUUUUGAGUAUAUUCAUCAAAUCUCCUGUAAAUUCUAUGAACUGAGAAGGCGGAACCGAGUAGGAAUUGGGUGAUAAGAGUUCAAGAGGUUUGGAUGAUCUGAUUCCUAGAUUUUGAAGUAGUAUUUCUGUGUCCAGUAGCAGGUUUAUAAUCACAUUGGGGUUCUUCAUGCACACCAUGUGUUUGGUAAUUUGCUUAACUGAAUAUCAAAUCACAUAUUAAAAGGAACUAGAUGUUCCUUCAACAACCGGGAAUGCUUCAGAAACGAAAACCGUGGAAGUGAGUAAUGUCUCAAUUACGGUCACUGAGAAGGAUAUCCGGGAAUUCUUCUCAUUUUCGGGAAAUAUCAAUUAUAUUGAAAUGAAAAGUGAAAGUGAAACCACCCAACGCGCGUUUGUCACCUUCAAGGAAUCAAAGGGAGCACAUACAAUACUUCUUUUGACAGUAAGUUAACUUUUAAGUUUUAUCUCAUAGUCACAGGAAACGCUAGCCUACC